CAGUUGGUUAGAGCGCGCGCUUGAUAAGCGUGAGGUCGGAAGUUCAAGUCUUCCCAGGCCCACCAUUUUGAUCGAGUGCGGAGCAUUCGUCUUCUGGUACGGGGCCAUAGCUCAGCUGGGAGAGCGCGUGCUUUGCAAGCAUGAGGUCGUCGGUUCGAUCCCGUCUGGCUCCACCAGAUGGAAUUGAAGCUCGAUAGCGCCUCGUUCAUUUCGUCCGCGAAACAUCACUUCGCACUCAUUGGUCCGGAUGGACGGUGACGUGCGUGUUUUCUGACAUCGUAAAGAGGAGAUCGAUCCGAGUUUGGAUCAAGCGAAGCAAUUCGCCUGAGCCAUUCAUUAUCUCCGGGAUCAUUUCGGCGCUCGCUUCAAUCGUGAGAUUGGAUGCGGGUUGUAAAUGAUCCCUUUUAGCGAAGCUUGACCGCCUCGCUAUCGGGCCGAUCUUACGAAGCAAGCUGGUCUUUCUAGUCAAUGUCCGGCUGCGCAAUCGCAUUCAUCGAGGAUGCGUGCCUGAGACUUCGGUCUUCGGGCAGUUGUGCAGACAACAUUCUGCCGAGUGUGUGGACAUUGAUAAUGAGAGCAAUCAAGUGCCUUAAGGGUGUUCGGUGGAUGCCUUGGCGCUGAGAGGCGAUGAAGGACGUGCUACGCUGCGAUAAGCCG
RNAcentral lists this unclassified non-coding RNA (657 nucleotides) under Bradyrhizobium sp. STM 3103. Its description in RNAcentral is "partial 16S-23S ribosomal RNA intergenic spacer". The stretch from base 101 to 173 matches the Rfam family "tRNA". The record is from RNAcentral. Lineage: Bacteria; Pseudomonadati; Pseudomonadota; Alphaproteobacteria; Hyphomicrobiales; Nitrobacteraceae.